AGUGAACGCUGGCGGUAGGCCUAACACAUGCAAGUCGAACGGCAGCACAGUAAGAGCUUGCUCUUACGGGUGGCGAGUGGCGGACGGGUGAGGAAUACAUCGGAAUCUACUUUUUCGUGGGGGAUAACGUAGGGAAACUUACGCUAAUACCGCAUACGACCUACGGGUGAAUGCAGGGGAUCUUCGGACCUUGCGCGAUUGAAUGAGCCGAUGUCGGAUUAGCUAGUUGGCGGGGUAAAGGCCCACCAAGGCGACGAUCCGUAGCUGGUCUGAGAGGAUGAUCAGGCACACUGGAACUGAGACACGGUCCAGACUCCUACGGGAGGCAGCAGUGGGGAAUAUUGGACUAUGGGAGCAUGCCUGAUCCAGCCAUACCGCGUGGGUGAAGAAGGCCUUCGGGUUGUAAAGCCCUUUUGUUGGGAAAGAAAAGCAGCAGGUUAAUACCCCGCUGUUCUGACGGUACCCAAAGAAUAAGCACCGGCUAACUUCGUG
RNAcentral lists this ribosomal RNA (492 nucleotides) under uncultured bacterium. Its description in RNAcentral is "partial 16S ribosomal RNA". It matches the Rfam family "Bacterial small subunit ribosomal RNA", at positions 29 to 507 of the family's 1533-position model. The record is from RNAcentral.